UCUGGCUCAGUCACCGAGGCGCAGGGACAAUGAUCUGCCCCCAGGUGAGGAUUAGGCCCAGGCGCUGAUGCUCCUCUCCGCACGUAGCAGCAAGGGGAGAUCAUGCAUCAAAUGAUGAGCUCCAGGUAUCCCGGGCUCCCGCUCAUCUCCCGACCCACCGCCUUUACAAGCCCACAAGGAAACCCUAAUAAAGGUCACGAGAGACCAGCACAGGACAGAGUUGUCCAGGAUCAAAGAAUCCAGCUUCCUGUUGCUGACGCUC
Sphaerodactylus townsendi is the source of this 262-nucleotide long non-coding RNA. RefSeq lists it as uncharacterized. The transcript has 3 exons. The record is from RefSeq and is a predicted model, not a curated record. NCBI's taxonomy places the organism in Eukaryota, Metazoa, Chordata, Lepidosauria, Squamata, Sphaerodactylidae.